Long non-coding RNA from Calidris pugnax (ruff), 1843 nucleotides. RefSeq lists it as uncharacterized. The record is from RefSeq and is a predicted model, not a curated record. NCBI's taxonomy places the organism in Eukaryota, Metazoa, Chordata, Aves, Charadriiformes, Scolopacidae. The transcript is spliced from 5 exons.
CUUUAAGAAAGCGAACUGUUCCUUAUGCAUAUUUGAAGGCUGUUUGUCUUGCAGUGCCCAGCUGACGCGGGGCCGGAGGCUCAACACGCGGGACCCGAAUUGUCGGGGAGUAAAUCAGCCACACGUUAAAGGCACCCUCUGCCAGGGCUCCGGGUGGGAGCCCCUUCCCAUUGCUCUAAACACAUCCCAGUACCGUCUGGCAACGUUUGAGGAGGGAGCCCUUAACCUGCGAAGCAAGGGCUUGAGGUCCAAAACACCUCUUUCCCUACCCCUUAUAUCCCCCCCCAUCCACAUCCACGUCGCGAGGAUGAAUUUGGCUGCAUCUGGGGUGGAUGGAUGCAUCUGUCUCCUGAGGCCUCCAUCUACUUGGGGCUAUGCCACCAGGUCUACUCCAUCUUCUCCCGGAGAGCCAGGCGAAGGCACAGGGGCUCCCGGGUGUUGAACUUGCUCCCCCCGAGCGCACCGGGAACAAAAGCGGCCCCCGAAGCGGUGGCAAACCCGACGGCAGCGCUCCUAUGGCCUGGGCCGGCUCCCCCCACCCUGUGCGGAGCAGGACGAGGUCACAGAAGCCCCCCGCAAACUUUGGGGACGGGCAUCCUCUCCGUCCCUCCGCCCCGACGGCCCGCACGGGGCUGUAGGAGCGGGGGGAGGCAGAACAGGGUGCGGGGAGCUUCAUUUAUUUUGGCAGAGGAAAGAGACGUUUCCACUCCACGCAGGCUCCACCGGCUGGGUGGGAUUUGGGACAAUAGGCGGAGUGGAUUAUUCGUUCCCGUAGGCAAUACUUCCCUGGAUGGGCUUCGGGAUGCAGUUGGAGGCUCGGGAACAAAGCGGGCAUCUCAUGUCAAGGCUCCUUCCAAGGAAGAAAUAAUUCUGCUGGGACCCUGUGCCUGGACUUUGGAAGACAUGAUGCAGUGGUUUCAUCUGAAAGCACCAUCCCUGUGGGUCGAAACUCUCCUCUGUACCGUGUGCUUGGCAAGAAGGGCAACGAGGGGACACUUGGAGUGACCAGGAGUUUGGCAUCAAGGAGCAGCAAGCCAGAGGGAAGUUUGGUGUCAAACCAGACACUUUGUGGCACUCCGUACUGGUGUCCAAUAGGUUCUGAACCACCCCCACGCUAAAAUAAAGAUCACCAUUCUGCUAUGCCAGUGAGCUUGUCUUGCUAAACCUCCCCUGUUUGCGUUGAAGCUUUUUUUUUUUUUUUUCCCCUUUGUAGAUGAAGAAACGCAAGCUAUCAGAAACAAGCCUAUGUUUGAAGGUACAGUUUUCAACAUGUGAGUGGGAAACAUAUGUACUGGCACAAUGCAACCGCUCUGUAAGGGCUGUGCUCGGAUUUUGGCUUUUAAUCUCAACUCUGUUAGAGAGAGAGAGAGAGAGAUGCAAAAUGGAAGGGAAUGUGAUUAUUUAUGCUGUAGCCUUGUGAUACUCAUCCUAUAACCGUUGAGGAGAGAAGCAAAACACUCUGCUAAAGCUUUGGGUGAGCCUGAGUUUCAGGGGGACUCUAGUCUUCACAGGUUCUCACUUCACUGCCUUUCUUCCCUUGGUAUAUGUUAUAUGGGAAAUGUUUUAAUUUUUUGUUUGUUUGUUUGUUUGGUCUGCUGUUCUAUGUUAUAAAGUGAGUAGAGACCAAAUCCUGCUGAGAAAACGAGCUCCCUCCACCACAAACUCACGUCUGGAAAAUACCUACCCCCUUUGCCCCCUGUCACCCCCCCCUUCAAACCAUCCUCCCCCUUUCAGGGGAGAAAAGAAAACCUUAGAAGAGAAAGAGAGAAGCGGGGAGGGAGUAAGAGGGGGAACCCCUGAUUCCUCAGUGACCUGCACAGCUCGGCCAGACCUCCGAGUUCCC